This 367-nucleotide long non-coding RNA is filed under the name Mustela putorius furo (domestic ferret). RNAcentral's name for it is "lncRNA (ENSMPUG00000027607.1)". The record is from RNAcentral. Lineage: Eukaryota; Metazoa; Chordata; Mammalia; Carnivora; Mustelidae.
UGGUAGUGCCAUUGAUUACAAGAAUGAUACUCUGGGUAGCACUAUAACCAUCACAUCAUGGUUCAACAGAGGGGACCCUCACAGUCUUUGGAUGGCACUGAUGGCAUGGAUGGUCCAUGUUUUUCCCCACUGCUAUCUCUUGGCUGAUACACAAAAUAAGAGCUCAACUAGACGGGGAUCACAGAGCGGUUUGUAAUAUAUAAACCCUGUUUAUGAACAUUUCAUGAUGUAUGUGAUCACCACCAGGGGGCGAAUUCCUUUCCUUUUGCAAAACUAGCAGCCAAAGUGGAGAAAGUGUUUCCACCAGAGCCAGUCAAAAGAAAAAUAGGUGAUCUGUUUUCCAGAAUCACAGAAGGUAUUAAAAGUC